Long non-coding RNA from Esox lucius (northern pike), 645 nucleotides. NCBI's taxonomy places the organism in Eukaryota, Metazoa, Chordata, Actinopteri, Esociformes, Esocidae. The record is from Ensembl.
CCAAAACCUCUGCCCAUGUGCCACACCUGAUUCAUCUUACGCCAUAACUUCAGAAGAGAAACCAACUUAUCGGCCUCAUCUCUAAAAACACCCCCUUAACAUCGGCUCAUUUCCGCCUGUACUCCACAGGAGUCGCGUUUAGCUUUGGUAGCUCUGCAACAAAAAUAAUAUUUGCGGUUAAUAAUAAAUGCGCCGAGAUGCUUUGAAGUUGGAGGUUGCUGGUUCCUCUGAUCCAAGCCGGUGUUUGUACGCGCACGGGCUGUCGGUGGCUGACGCUAAGGUGGGUUUCCUGGCUGAAACGAGGCCCCCGCGCAUUCUGCAGUCUGACGGGGAAAUGACGUCAGAGCCACGAUCCUCAAGACCCCCCCCCCACCCCAAAAAAACCACAGCAAUCCUGCCUUACGUUACGCUCCACCACAACCUUCUAAGGCCUGGCGAGCGCAGACGGCGAGCGUCACAGUAGACUACGCAAAAGAGACCGCGGCCCUCCGUGGUUGUUCUAAGCCAGUCGAAGAGAACGGCCGCGAGGGUUUGAACACUGUCGUUAAACAGAUAUAUAUACGAUGUCACAAACCAACAACAUGGAGCCCCAGUGAGGCCACGGGCAAACACGCGCCACUUCACAUGCGAGGUCGAUUCAGCCGA